Molecule: ribosomal RNA, 253 nt
Filed under: uncultured bacterium
Lineage: Bacteria
Description: partial 16S ribosomal RNA
Rfam family: Bacterial small subunit ribosomal RNA
Source: RNAcentral
UACGGAGGAUCCUAGCGUUAUCCGGAUUCAUUGGGUUUAAAGGGUGCGUAGGCGGAAUAGUAAGUCAAUGGUGAAAGCCUACAGCUUAACUGUAGAAUUGCCGUUGAUACUGCUAAUCUUGAGUACAUUUGAAGUGGGCGGAAUGUGUCGUGUAGCGGUGAAAUGCUUAGAUAUGACACAGAACACCGAUUGCGAAGGCAGCUCACUAAACUGUAACUGACGCUGAGGCACGAAAGCGUGGGGAUCAAACAGG